This 329-nucleotide ribosomal RNA is filed under the name uncultured eukaryote. RNAcentral's name for it is "partial 18S ribosomal RNA". It matches the Rfam family "Eukaryotic small subunit ribosomal RNA", at positions 1470 to 1796 of the family's 1831-position model. The record is from RNAcentral.
CCCUUAGAUGUCCUGGGCCGCACGCGCGCUACACUGAGUGUCUGAGAUACGAGUCUGCCUGGUCCGGCAAGGUCUAGGUAAUCGCUAAAAGACACAUCAUGCUUGGGAUAGAUUAUUGCAAAUAUUAAUCUUGAACGAGGAAUUCCUAGUAAGCGCAAGUCAACAGCUUGCGUUGAUUACGUCCCUGCCCUUUGUACACACCGCCCGUCGCUACUACUGAUUGGAUGUUUAAGCGAGGUUCUCGAACUGCUAGCGACUUAGCUUCGGUGAGGUCGCAGUGUGGGAAGUGAACCCAGCUUUGGUGUCUAGAGGAAGUAAAAGUCGUAACA